RNAcentral lists this ribosomal RNA (514 nucleotides) under Saccharomyces cerevisiae (brewer's yeast). Its description in RNAcentral is "partial large subunit ribosomal RNA". It matches the Rfam family "Eukaryotic large subunit ribosomal RNA", at positions 92 to 609 of the family's 3401-position model. The record is from RNAcentral. Lineage: Eukaryota; Fungi; Ascomycota; Saccharomycetes; Saccharomycetales; Saccharomycetaceae.
AGUGAAGCGGCAAAAGCUCAAAUUUGAAAUCUGGUACCUUCGGUGCCCGAGUUGUAAUUUGGAGAGGGCAACUUUGGGGCCGUUCCUUGUCUAUGUUCCUUGGAACAGGACGUCAUAGAGGGUGAGAAUCCCGUGUGGCGAGGAGUGCGGUUCUUUGUAAAGUGCCUUCGAAGAGUCGAGUUGUUUGGGAAUGCAGCUCUAAGUGGGUGGUAAAUUCCAUCUAAAGCUAAAUAUUGGCGAGAGACCGAUAGCGAACAAGUACAGUGAUGGAAAGAUGAAAAGAACUUUGAAAAGAGAGUGAAAAAGUACGUGAAAUUGUUGAAAGGGAAGGGCAUUUGAUCAGACAUGGUGUUUUGUGCCCUCUGCUCCUUGUGGGUAGGGGAAUCUCGCAUUUCACUGGGCCAGCAUCAGUUUUGGUGGCAGGAUAAAUCCAUAGGAAUGUAGCUUGCCUCGGUAAGUAUUAUAGCCUGUGGGAAUACUGCCAGCUGGGACUGAGGACUGCGACGUAAGUCAA